AAGUUUGCCAAGUGUACGUAAAAAUAAAAGAAAAAUGUUGGUGGGUCUAUAAGAGAGAGAAGUAUUCUACUUGACUAGUCUCUACGACGGCUGCGUUAUUGGGUGAUGGAGGGAGGGCAGGCGUGGUACAUUCGACGACCUUGACCCCUGUUCUCAACUGGCGCUCGUUCUUCGUAGACCGGUCGAUAUGUACCGCUCUCCAUCCCUCCGCGAUAUAACAUCCCCUCUCUCUCUCUCUCUCUCUCUCUCUCUCUUUGGGAGAGAUGGUUUUCUCUCGACGCCGACGCCAACGACGCCGACGCCGACGUCGACGCCGACGCGGACGCCAUCGUCGCGUCCCUACUGCCAUCCUCCUCUUCCUCAUCCUCCUCCUCCUACUUCUUAUUAUUGUAGUCGUGCCUUCUAGUCGUAGUUUGGUGCAAUGUAUUCGUGAACGCGUUGUAUCGAUUUCGCGGAUGCCGCCACAGUCGACGCAGAGACCUCCUAUACGUUUAACGGACCACGACGACUCUAAUUCUUUCUAUAUUUUACCCGAUUUGAUAUUUAAUUGAAAGAAAAGAAAAACAAAAAGAAAAGAGAAGAAAACUGUCGGCAGGUGAUACCUAUCCUUCGUAGAUAUUCAUCAUAUUUUGAUCGUAUGAAAUAAUGAGAAUAACGACAAAUUUUGCGAGAUUGUUUCAUUCAUCAUUUAUACUUCUUUUAUAAUAUAGAAUAUCUUGGAUUAUCGUUAAGGCAGCUAACUCGGACACGAUCAACUCGGUAUCUCGUGACCGGAAUACGAUACCUACGAUAGUGUCGAAGACGUCGACCGUUAUGUUUCUUAGUUGAAGAAAAAGGAAAGAGGAGGAGGAGGUGGAGGAGAAGGAGGAGAAGGCGGAGGAGGAGUGGCAGAGAAAACGACGCGCAAACCGCGCGCUUAUUCAUUAAUGCUACCCAACGGAUCGCAUAUAUCCAAUGAAAAUCGAACGUCAGCGCUAUACAAGAAAUUAAUAUCAUUUGUUUUGUUUAAAUCUUGAACCUUAGUAAACCGUAAAACAACCA
Molecule: long non-coding RNA, 1041 nt
Organism: Polistes canadensis
Lineage: Eukaryota; Metazoa; Arthropoda; Insecta; Hymenoptera; Vespidae
Exons: 2
Source: RefSeq, a predicted model, not a curated record